This is a long non-coding RNA of Triticum dicoccoides, 2745 nucleotides long. RefSeq lists it as uncharacterized. The record is from RefSeq and is a predicted model, not a curated record. The transcript is spliced from 3 exons. NCBI's taxonomy places the organism in Eukaryota, Viridiplantae, Streptophyta, Magnoliopsida, Poales, Poaceae.
UCAGGGGCGGCUGCUCGACACAGGCGACGCGAGCGGCGUGCGCUGGGAUCCAGCCGAGGCGCCAUGGAAAGAUGAAGGUAUGGAUCCAGCCGCCGCGGGCGACGCAGGGAUCAGUCGAUCCAGCCGCCGCGGGCGACACGGGGAUCAGUUGAUCCAGUCGGCUGCGGUCCAUGAGCAGUGUGGACGGACUCCCUCGACGCCGUCCUACCUCUCGGACCUAGGGAGAACCCUGGGUGCCGCCGCCAUGCCCUCCUGCUCGCGACUCCUCGCGGAGCGGACGGCCAUCCAUCCGGUAAUCAAUCUCGUGUACGCUUUGCCCGCAGGUGCAAAUUUUCCUCAAGGAUACUGGCUGGUCACACGAGCAUAAUGGAGAAAUCAGUCAACUAUUCAUGGAUCAGGCAAAAUUUUCCAUUGAUAAAUGUAUUUGGCGUGCUUUCAGUUUGUUGACUUUAACAAGCUUGGGAAUACAAUAGCUACGUUGGGUCAGUUAUUAGCUUUUACGUCUUCACAGAUAACUAAUGAUACUUUGCAGGCUAUUCAAAUUAUUUAUAUAGCCAAAUUGACACUAUGUUCAUCAUUAGAGAUUAUAUAAUUAAGGUGAAACAAUUCCAACCACAACUAUUUGGUUUGGGAACUAUAUGUAUUUUGCUGCUAGGAAUGUCAGGCACCUUUGAUAUUCUCAGUUUUCUUUAUUCUUGCUAUAAGUUUUACAUCACAGCAAGAAAAACACCCGACGUGGGCGAUCCGCCCGCGAAGUGGAAACGGGGGUACACGAGCGAUAAUGGCCGUUGCCUCCUGUAUUGGAUCCCAGCAACAUGGUUCUCAGCUAGGUGGUGUAUGUUGUUUCAUGCUAUGAGGAGAAAUUUCACAAAGCUUAUAGGAGACCAAAAUCCCACCCAAAUCAGGUAAACCUUGGGCAUGAGGGUCGAAAAGUUUUUUUUUCUUUGUCAAAGAAAUUCCUUAUUAACUGAUAUUGUGUCGUUGAUGCUUGGUCUAAUAAACAGAUUUAGCUUCAGUUUAGGUAAAUCUUCAAUUGGCUCCAGGUUAUCUGUGUUAUCAGAUUUCCAUGUUAGAGAAAAACUAUGCAAUCAAAAUUAUGUUGUCAUCCUGAAAUUAUCUAGCUCAUAAAGAUAGGAAACAAAAAAUAGAAGUUGGAUACCAAAGCAGGGGAUAGAAAUGUAGUACAAGAAUUAAUUUCAUCUUGUAGGGUAGUAUCAACAUAUUGCAAAUAUUCCAGUGAAAUAUCCGUGAGAUAAAAAUUAGGUGUACUCCAUUUUAUCGUGAUAAAACAAUACCAGUUACACCAAACAUCAAUGUAGUACCAUGUUCUAUGUUGCAACUGAGAGAUGAUGUGGUGGUAAAGCAGAAUUUGAGUAGUUGUCGAGUUCAUUGGUUCUGACCAUUUGAUCAUAUAUAUUACCUCUGUAAACUAAUAUAUGGAGAAAAUUUACUUUAUAAGAGUACUUUUGAUAGUGAUUCUGUAAAUGCCGGUACACAUAACUGAACUGCAAUGCUGCACUUGAACACUAUCAUGGAGCUUAGAACUUGUGUGGUGUUGUUCUUGCAAAAAAUAAAUGGAGUAAUAAUGUUUUUAAUAUCAGGAAAUAGAUAUAGAAAUGUGACCUGCACUAUGCUGGUAUAGUAUCCAGCAAUACCAGUUUUCUGUAUAUUAUCUACUCUUUAACAUUGUACUUAGUCCUUGUUCUAUUUGAUAGUCACUUUUACAUAUAAUGCAAAGUUUUCAGUUGUGCCUGUUAAGAAUUCAUGAUAUUUCUAUUUUUGCACCGGGCAAUGGAAUAGAGGUUACUUUGGAAUUCAGGCCAAAGUAACUCUGUAUAGAUUAUUGCAUAUGCAAGAGGGCCAUCUGAAUUUUUCUGGAAGCCAUGUGUAGCAAUUGAUAUGAAUAGAAAAGCUUUUGAAGGAUACAGUAAGCAAGCUGCUGGUUGCAUAGGCUACACUAUUUUGGUACAUCAGAAUCACAGUUUACAAGAUAUUCCGUUGCACUUUUAUCUUUUCGCCAUGGUAUUAGACAUGUUUGAAUCAUUGUUCAGACACAUGGCUGGCAUGCAUGUGAAGCAAAGUUUGUGACAUAUACUUCAUGUUGGCUACUUAUCAUGCCUUCGCAAAUAGAAAGACAUCAAUUGCAACUUGUUAUGCAACAUGAUAGCAAGUGAAGAGUUUGUGAUUGCUGUUAAGCAGUAUUUGAUUAGCAUCGCAACUCUUUUAAGUGAACUUAGAGGGAUUGGGUAUCAUCAGAAAUGAUGUAAUCAGUAUGGUAUAUGCUAUAGACAUACAAAGUUCCAUGGAAGUAUAUUAAUCUGUAUCAAUAGAUGCUUAAAACUGUAAAAAAAAUAUAAUAUUCCUUCUGCUUGAAGGAACGUCUUAUAUUGUGGGAUGAAGGGAAUACAUUAGAUAGUGGUUUAGUUUUUUCUUUAAUAGCUGGUCCCUUGCUGUUAUAGGCUUGCUUAUAUGGAGGUUGUCCGAUUGGGUAUUAAUAGAGGUGAUGUAAGAAGUAUGUUAUGCUUAGACAUAUGAAGUCCCAAAGAAGUAUCAAUGGAUGCAAAAAACUGUAAAUAAAGUUAUGUGUCCCUUCCAUUGCCAUACAUACGUAUUUUCCCAAGUUUGCUAGAGUUAUUUUUUUUACAAAAGCUAGAGUUAAUAGUGAGUUAGAUUUUUGUAACUCUGGCUCCUUGCUGUGUACUGACAUGCUUAUGUGGCUCCUCUUCUUGUAAGGAAUCAUGAUUG